This 492-nucleotide ribosomal RNA is filed under the name uncultured bacterium. RNAcentral describes it as "partial 16S ribosomal RNA". It matches the Rfam family "Bacterial small subunit ribosomal RNA", at positions 29 to 507 of the family's 1533-position model. The record is from RNAcentral.
AGUGAGCGCUGGCGGUAGGCCUAACACAUGCAAGUCGAACGGCAGCACAGUAAGAGCUUGCUCUUACGGGUGGCGAGUGGCGGACGGGUGAGGAAUACAUCGGAAUCUACUUUUUCGUGGGGGAUAACGUAGGGAAACUUACGCUAAUACCGCAUACGACCUACGGGUGAAAGCAGGGGAUCUUCGGACCUUGCGCGAUUGAAUGAGCCGAUGUCGGAUUAGCUAGUUGGCGGGGUAAAGGCCCACCAAGGCGACGAUCCGUAGCUGGUCUGAGAGGAUGAUCAGCCACACUGGAACUGAGACACGGUCCAGACUCCUACGGGAGGCAGCAGUGGGGAAUAUUGGACAAUGGGCGCAAGCCUGAUCCAGCCAUACCGCGUGAGUGAAGAAGGCCUUCGGGUUGUAAAGCCCUUUUGUUGGGAAAGAAAAGCAGCAGGUUAAUACCCCGCUGUUCUGACGGUACCCAAAGAAUAAGCACCGGCUAACUUCGUG